UACGUAGGGCGCAAGCGUUGUCCGGAAUUAUUGGGCGUAAAGAGCUCGUAGGCGGCCUGUUGCGUCCGCUGUGAAAUCCCGGGGCUCAACCCCGGGCGUGCAGUGGAUACGGGCUGGCUGGAGGCAGGCAGGGGAGAACGGAAUUCCUGGUGUAGCGGUGAAAUUCGUAGAUAUUCGCAAGAACACCAGUGGCGAAGGCGGCUCACUGGCCCGAUACUGACGCUGAGGCACGAAAGCGUGGGGAGCAAACAGG
RNAcentral lists this ribosomal RNA (253 nucleotides) under uncultured bacterium. RNAcentral describes it as "partial 16S ribosomal RNA". It matches the Rfam family "Bacterial small subunit ribosomal RNA", at positions 524 to 776 of the family's 1533-position model. The record is from RNAcentral.